This 506-nucleotide ribosomal RNA is filed under the name uncultured bacterium. Its description in RNAcentral is "partial 16S ribosomal RNA". It matches the Rfam family "Bacterial small subunit ribosomal RNA", at positions 30 to 523 of the family's 1533-position model. The record is from RNAcentral.
AUUGAACGCUGGCGGCAGGCUUAACACAUGCAAGUCGAGCGGUAACAGAGAGAAGCUUGCUUCUCUGCUGACGAGCGGCGGACGGGUGAGUAAUGCCUAGGAAUCUGCCUAGUAGUGGGGGAUAACUUGCCGAAAGGUAAGCUAAUACCGCAUACGUCCUACGGGAGAAAGGAGGGGACCUUCGGGCCUUUCGCUAUUAGAUGAGCCUAGGUCGGAUUAGUUAGUUGGUGAGGUAAUGGCUCACCAAGACCGCGAUCCGUAACUGGUCUGAGAGGAGGAUCAGUAACACUGGAACUGAGACACGGUCCAGACUCCUACGGGAGGCAGCAGUAGGGAAUAUUGGACAAUGGGUGGAACCCUGAUCCAGCCAUGCCGCGUGUGUGAAGAAGGUCUUAGGAUUGUAAAGCACUUUAAGUUGGGAGGAAGAGCAGUUAACUAAUAUUUGACUGUUUUGACGUUACCGACAGAAUAAGCACCGGCUAACUUCGUGCCAGCCGCCGCGGUAA